This 1049-nucleotide ribosomal RNA is filed under the name uncultured bacterium. RNAcentral describes it as "bacterial SSU rRNA". It matches the Rfam family "Bacterial small subunit ribosomal RNA", at positions 8 to 1072 of the family's 1533-position model. The record is from RNAcentral.
AGAGUUUGAUCAUGGCUCAGAUUGAACGCUGGCGGCAGGCCUAACACAUGCAAGUCGAGCGGGGUUUUCGGACCUAGCGGCGGACGGGUGAGUAAUGCGUAGGAAGCUACCCGAUAGAGGGGGAUACCAGUUGGAAACGACUGUUAAUACCGCAUAAUGUCUACGGACCAAAGUGUGGGACCUUCGGGCCACAUGCUAUCGGAUGCGCCUACGUGGGAUUAGCUAGUUGGUGAGGUAAUGGCUCACCAAGGCGACGAUCCCUAGCUGGUUUGAGAGGAUGAUCAGCCACACUGGAACUGAGACACGGUCCAGACUCCUACGGGAGGCAGCAGUGGGGAAUAUUGGACAAUGGGCGCAAGCCUGAUCCAGCCAUGCCGCGUGUGUGAAGAAGGCCUUCGGGUUGUAAAGCACUUUCAGCGAGGAGGAAGGGGUUGUAGUUAAUAGCUGCAAUCUUUGACGUUACUCGCAGAAGAAGCACCGGCUAACUCUGUGCCAGCAGCCGCGGUAAUACAGAGGGUGCAAGCGUUAAUCGGAAUUACUGGGCGUAAAGCGCACGUAGGCGGUUUUUUAAGUCAGAUGUGAAAGCCCCGGGCUCAACCUGGGAAUUGCAUUUGAAACUGGAAAGCUAGAGUGUGUGAGAGGGGGGUAGAAUUCCAAGUGUAGCGGUGAAAUGCGUAGAGAUUUGGAGGAAUACCAGUGGCGAAAGCGGCCCCCUGGCACAACACUGACGCUCAGUGCGAAAGCGUGGGGAGCAAACAGGAUUAGAUACCCUGGUAGUCCACGCCGUAAACGAUGUCUACUAGCUGUUCGUGGUCUUGUACUGUGAGUAGCGCAGCUAACGCACUAAGUAGACCGCCUGGGGAGUACGGUCGCAAGAUUAAAACUCAAUGAUUGACGGGGCCCGCACAGCGGUGGAGCAUGUGGUUUAUUCGACGCACGCGAGAACCUUACUACUCUUGACAUCUACAGGAACUUAGCAGAGAUGCUUCGGUGCCUUCGGGAACUGUUAGACAGUGCUGCAUGCUGUCGUCAGCCUCGUGGUUGUGUGA